Molecule: ribosomal RNA, 882 nt
Filed under: Apiospora rasikravindrae
Lineage: Eukaryota; Fungi; Ascomycota; Sordariomycetes; Amphisphaeriales; Apiosporaceae
Description: eukaryotic LSU rRNA
Rfam family: Eukaryotic large subunit ribosomal RNA
Source: RNAcentral
ACUUAAGCAUAUCAAUAAGCGGAGGAAAAGAAACCAACAGGGAUUCCCCUAGUAACGGCGAGUGAAGCGGGAACAGCUCAAAUUUGAAAUCUGGCCCUUGGGUCCGAGUUGUAAUUUGCAGAGGAUGCUUUUGGUGCGGUGCCUUUCCGAGUUCCCUGGAACGGGACGCCUUAGAGGGUGAGAGCCCCGUACGGUUGGCCACCAAGCCUGUGUAAAGCUCCUUCGACGAGUCGAGUAGUUUGGGAAUGCUGCUCAAAAUGGGAGGUAUAUUUCUUCUAAAGCUAAAUACUGGCCAGAGACCGAUAGCGCACAAGUAGAGUGAUCGAAAGAUGAAAAGCACUUUGAAAAGAGGGUUAAAUAGCACGUGAAAUUGUUGAAAGGGAAGGAUUUAUGACCAGACUUUUUCUAGGGGGAUCAUCCGGUGUUCUCACCGGUGCACUUCCCCUAGUUGAGGCCAGCAUCGGUUUCUGUCGGGGGAUAAAAGCUUCAGGAAUGUGGCUCCCUCCGGGGAGUGUUAUAGCCUGUUGCAUAAUACCCUGACGGGGACCGAGGUUCGCGCAUUGCAAGGAUGCUGGCGUAAUGGUUAUCAAUCACCCGUCUUGAAACACGGACCAAGGAGUCGAACAUUUGUGCGAGUGUUUGGGUGUUAAACCCUCACGCGUAAUGAAAGUGAACGGAGGUGAGAGCCCUUCGGGGUGCAUCAUCGACCGAUCCUGAUGUCUUCGGAUGGAUUUGAGUAAGAGCAUAACUGUUCGGACCCGAAAGAUGGUGAACUAUGCGUGGAUAGGGUGAAGCCAGAGGAAACUCUGGUGGAGGCUCGCAGCGGUUCUGACGUGCAAAUCGAUCGUCAAAUCUGCGCAUGGGGGCGAAAGACUAAUCGAA